GAUGAACGCUGGCGGCGUGCCUAAUACAUGCAAGUCGAGCGAACGGACGAGAAGCUUGCUUUUCUGAUGUUAGCGGCGGACGGGCGAGUAACACGUGGAUAACCUACCUAUAAGACUGGGAUAACUUCGGGAAACCGGAGCUAAUACCGGAUAAUAUUUUGAACCGCAUGGUUCAAAAGUGAAAGACGGUCUUGCUGUCACUUAUAGAUGGAUCCGCGCUGCAUUAGCUAGUUGGUAAGGUAACGGCUUACCAAGGCAACGAUGCAUAGCCGACCUGAGAGGGUGAUCGGCCACACUGGAACUGAGACACGGUCCAGACUCCUACGGGAGGCAGCAGUAGGGAAUCUUCCGCAAUGGGCGAAAGCCUGACGGAGCAACGCCGCGUGAGUGAUGAAGGUCUUCGGAUCGUAAAACUCUGUUAUUAGGGAAGAACAUAUGUGUAAGUAACUGUGCACAUCUUGACGCUACCUAAUCAGAAAGCCACGGCUAACUACGUG
This 497-nucleotide ribosomal RNA is filed under the name uncultured bacterium. RNAcentral describes it as "partial 16S ribosomal RNA". It matches the Rfam family "Bacterial small subunit ribosomal RNA", at positions 28 to 507 of the family's 1533-position model. The record is from RNAcentral.